Myotis daubentonii (Daubenton's bat) is the source of this 1181-nucleotide long non-coding RNA. RefSeq lists it as uncharacterized. The record is from RefSeq and is a predicted model, not a curated record. NCBI's taxonomy places the organism in Eukaryota, Metazoa, Chordata, Mammalia, Chiroptera, Vespertilionidae.
UGGCAACAAUUGUCCAAAAUACCAGGCCUCUCGGCCAGCCAUGUGAGGCUCCCUUUCAAAGCUGAGGCUGUCUUAAACAGAUAGCCUGUUUCAGCAUUGGACACAAGUGCAGAAAACCUUUUCAAAACUAGCUGCCAGCCCUGGCUGGUUUGGCUCAGUGGAUCGAGCGUCGGCUUGCGGACUGAAGGGUCCCAGGUUUGAUUCCGGUGAAGGGCAUGUACCUUGGUUGUGGGCACAUCCCCACUGGGGGGGGGGGGGGGGGAGGUGUAGGAGGCAGCUGAUCGAUGUUUCUAACUCUCUAUCCCUCUCCCUUCCUCUCUGCAAAAAAUCAAUAAAAUAUAUGUGUAAAAAAAAAAAAAGAAAGAAACCUAGCUGCCAAGUGAUGGGGAAAGUUCUUGUGUGAAGUGCUGGACUGAAGAUACUUAGACAUUCUCAUUGCCAGAACUGGACUUGCAGUUACUGGGUUUGAUCUGCUCAUCCAGUCAGCUAAACAUCAACAAGCAGCGCUGUCACCCACUGUGGUCUCUGAAUACCAGUUUUCUCAAGAGCCAAAGCUCCUUGGCGAAACGGAUCAAUCCAGGUCUGAGAAAAUGAGGAUGCUUGACAUCAAAGACUACUGGAGUCUGCGAUGGAACUUUCCAGUGAGGCAGUUUACCUUCUCCUACUGAGCCUCCAUUAAUAAAAGUAGAGGGAAGUUGUAAGGACAGACUGUCCUGGAAAGAACUGAUCAAUGGAGAAAACUACAACCCGAAGUAAAUGAACUGACACCUGGAACUGGGACCCAACAGCUAAGUACUGCACCAAUCUUUCCCCCACCCUCUAAACCAGUGGUUCUCAACCUUCCUAAUGCCAUGACCCUUUAAAACAGUUCAUGUUGUGGUGACCCCCAACCAUAAAGUUAUUUUCGUUGCUACUUCAUAACUGUAAUGUUGCUACUGUUAUGAAUUGUACUGUCAAUAUCUGAUAUGCAGGAUGUAUUUUCAUUGUUACAAAUUGAACAUAAAGCAUAGUGAUUAAUCACAAAAACAGUAUGUAAUUAUGUAUGUGUUUUCCGAUGGUCUUAAGCGACCCCUGUGAAAGGGUUGUUGGACCCCCAAAGCGACCCACAGGUUGAGAACCGCUGCUCUAAACCAAGGCUACCCUGGAAAAUCAUCCAGAUUAAAAGGCUGCAGACCACAUCA